CGGUAGUCCAGUGGUUAGCACGUCGGCUUCACAGUGCAGAGGUACCGGGUUCGAUUCCAGCUCCGGCCUCCCUGUGUGAAGUUUGCAUGUUCUCCCCGGGCCUGCGUGGGUUUUCUCCGGGUGCUCCGGUUUCCUCCCACAUUCCAAAAACAUGCGUGGCAGGCUGAUUGGACGCUCUAAAUUGUCCCUAGGUGUGAGUGUGAGUGCGAAUGGUUGUUCGUUUCUGUGUGCCCUGCGAUUGGCUGGCAACCGAUUCAGGGUGUCCCCCGCCUACUGCCCGAAGACAGCUGGGAUAGGCUCCGGCACCCCCCGCGACCCUAGUGAGGAUCAAGCGGCUCGGAAGAUGAAUGAAUGAAUUGGAAGGAUGUAUAGCACAAUUUUUAGCAAGCCUAUUAUUAUUUUUUUUUUUUGGGGGGGGGGGGGAGAAAAAGUCCAAAGUAGUAUACUGUGGUCUUCGAUGUGGAGGUCAGUGGGUUACCAGGGGAGGUAGGUGUGGUUUUGGCAUAUGGAUUUUUUUUUUUUUCGGGUGGAGCUGGGGUAACAAAGCGGCGCUAAUUAAGGGUCUGGUUGGCCGGAAACUUGACAGGAGCAGCUGCUUACGGUUUUGCAUCUGAGGUACUCAACAAAAUAACAAUAUGGGGAACUUCUUGCAGACAUUAGAGAGGAAGCUCAAGGAUUUGUCAUGGAUGGGGAUCUUCAAGGGAAAGGACACACGGAA
This is a long non-coding RNA of Hippocampus zosterae (dwarf seahorse), 718 nucleotides long. RefSeq lists it as uncharacterized. NCBI's taxonomy places the organism in Eukaryota, Metazoa, Chordata, Actinopteri, Syngnathiformes, Syngnathidae. The record is from RefSeq and is a predicted model, not a curated record. The transcript is spliced from 2 exons.